RNAcentral lists this ribosomal RNA (253 nucleotides) under uncultured bacterium. RNAcentral describes it as "partial 16S ribosomal RNA". It matches the Rfam family "Bacterial small subunit ribosomal RNA", at positions 524 to 776 of the family's 1533-position model. The record is from RNAcentral.
UACAGGGGGGGCAAGCGUUGUUCGGAAUUACUGGGCGUACAGGGUUCGUAGGUGGCCAACUAAGUCAGACGUGAAAUCCCUCAGCUUAACUGGGGAACUGCGUCUGAUACUGGAUGGCUUGAGUGUAGGAGAGGAAUGCGGAAUUCCAGGUGUAGCGGUGAAAUGCGUAGAUAUCUGGAGGAACACCGGUGGCGAAGGCGGCAUUCUGGACUACAACUGACACUGAGGAACGAAAGCCAGGGGAGCAAACGGG